UGCGUAGGCGGCUUUUUAAGUCGGAUGUGAAAUCCCUGAGCUUAACUUGGGAACUGCGUUUGGAACUGUCAGACUAGAGUGCGUCAGAGGGGGGUGGAAUUCCGCGUGUAGCAGUGAAAUGCGUAGAGAUGCGGAGGAACACCGAUGGCGAAGGCAGCCCCCUGGGAUGACACUGACGCUCAUGCACGAAAGCGUGGGGAGCAAACAGGAUUAGAUACCCGGGUA
This 225-nucleotide ribosomal RNA is filed under the name uncultured Vogesella sp. RNAcentral's name for it is "partial 16S ribosomal RNA". It matches the Rfam family "Bacterial small subunit ribosomal RNA", at positions 568 to 792 of the family's 1533-position model. Lineage: Bacteria; Pseudomonadati; Pseudomonadota; Betaproteobacteria; Neisseriales; Chromobacteriaceae. The record is from RNAcentral.